This 103-nucleotide non-coding RNA is filed under the name Levilactobacillus namurensis. Its description in RNAcentral is "Lactobacillus namurensis TPP sequence". It matches the Rfam family "TPP riboswitch aptamer (THI element)". Rfam says of the family: Vitamin B(1) in its active form thiamin pyrophosphate (TPP) is an essential coenzyme that is synthesised by coupling of pyrimidine and thiazole moieties in bacteria. The previously detected thiamin-regulatory element, thi box was extended, resulting in a new, highly conserved RNA secondary structure, the THI element, which is widely distributed in eubacteria and also occurs in some archaea. The record is from RNAcentral. Lineage: Bacteria; Bacillati; Bacillota; Bacilli; Lactobacillales; Lactobacillaceae.
CGAAAACACUAGGGGUGCCCCAAUUGGGCUGAGAUGAACGACCGUUCGAUCCCUUUGAACCUGUUAAGUUAGGACUUGCGAAGGAAAGUGUUCGAUUAAAACG